GUUUCACCGGCUGUCUGUCUGUGGUCCACUUCAACUCCAUCAGUCCUCUGAAAGCCGCUCUGCUCCACCCGGACACCAGCCCCGUGGUCAUCUCCGGACCUUUAGUCCAAUCCAACUGUGGCUCAUCUGCUUCAGCCAACCCCUACGCAGCCGUAAACACACACCACCUAUCAGACCAGUCUGGUUCUCUGGGUACAGGCCAACCUUUAGUCAAUGCCAUCAGGACGGACUCCGCUCUGAUUGGAGGUGUCAUCGCUGUGGUCAUUUUUGUGAUCGUCACCGCUCUGGCCGUAACAGCCAGGUUCCUGUACCGCAGAAAAGAGACGUACCGGAACCGAGAAGUGAAGGGGGUCAAACAGGAGGACAGCCAAGACUUCCCCUUCGACACCCAGGCCGACUCGCAGAACGUGUCCGGCGAAAACCCAAAGGAGUAUUUCAUUUAAGCAGGAGGAGUGGGACGUCCUGAUGAGCCGGAGGUGACGAAGCCCAGGGGAAGGGGGCGCUGUCCGGCCUCAUGUCCACUGUCCGGCCACAUGUCCACCCUUUCCACUGCAGUCAGAACCAGGGCAGACUCUGCAGAAACCACUGGGUUCAUGUGGAAGACAAACAAAAGAACAAUACACGGUGUUGUCUGUCUGUCUGUCGCUUUAAUGUAAAUUGUGAAUACUCCUGAUUCCAACGGGGGCAGCAGAAGUUGGACUCAAAAGGGUUGAUUUCUCGUUUCAGUGGCUGUAAAUAUUUAAAAAUGUAAAUGUUGAAUUCAUGUAUUUGUAACGAUCUCUGGCUAAUGUCACUUUGUCGAUCUGCAGUGGUGGAUAUAAUGGAGGUCUGGGUGUGUAGAAGCCAGUAAUGGAAUAACAACCGAUAACGUAGUAACGGCCGAUAACAUAAUGAAUUUGCC
This is a long non-coding RNA of Sphaeramia orbicularis (orbiculate cardinalfish), 901 nucleotides long. RefSeq lists it as uncharacterized. Lineage: Eukaryota; Metazoa; Chordata; Actinopteri; Kurtiformes; Apogonidae. The transcript is spliced from 3 exons. The record is from RefSeq and is a predicted model, not a curated record.